UACGUAGGGUGCAAGCGUUGUCCGGAAUUAUUGGGCGUAAAGAGCUCGUAGGCGGUUUGUCACGUCGGCUGUGAAAACUCGGGGCUCAACCCCGAGCCUGCAGUCGAUACGGGCAGACUUGAGUCCGGGAGAGGAGAGUGGAAUUCCUGGUGUAGCGGUGAAAUGCGCAGAUAUCAGGAGGAACACCGGUGGCGAAGGCGGGUCACUGGGCCGGAACUGACGCUGAGGAGCGAAAGCGUGGGGAGCGAACAGG
This 253-nucleotide ribosomal RNA is filed under the name uncultured bacterium. RNAcentral describes it as "partial 16S ribosomal RNA". It matches the Rfam family "Bacterial small subunit ribosomal RNA", at positions 524 to 776 of the family's 1533-position model. The record is from RNAcentral.